This 504-nucleotide ribosomal RNA is filed under the name uncultured bacterium. RNAcentral's name for it is "bacterial SSU rRNA". It matches the Rfam family "Bacterial small subunit ribosomal RNA", at positions 17 to 518 of the family's 1533-position model. The record is from RNAcentral.
UUAUGGCUCAGGAUGAACGCUGGCGGCGUGCUUAACACAUGCAAGUCGAACGAGCUUACUUUCACGAUCCCCUCGGGGGUGACGAGUGUAAGCGAGUGGCGGACGGGUGAGUAACGCGUGGGCAACCUGCCCCAUACAGGGAGAUAACAGUUGGAAACGACUGACAAUACCGCAUAAGCGCACAGUAUCGCAUGGUACGGUGUGAAAAAACUCCGGUGGUAUGGGAUGGGCCCGCGUCUGAUUAGCUAGUUGGUGAGGUAACGGCCCACCAAGGCGACGAUCAGUAGCCGACCUGAGAGGGUGACCGGCCACAUUGGGACUGAGACACGGCCCAAACUCCUACGGGAGGCAGCAGUGGGGAAUAUUGCACAAUGGGGGAAACCCUGAUGCAGCGAACCGCCGCGUGAGUGAUGAAGUAUUUCGGUAUGUAAAGCUCUAUCAGCAGGGAAGAACAAUGACGGUACCUGACUAAGAAGCCCCGGCUAACUACGUGCCAGCCGCUGC